RNAcentral lists this ribosomal RNA (300 nucleotides) under Dehalococcoidia bacterium. RNAcentral's name for it is "partial 16S ribosomal RNA". It matches the Rfam family "Bacterial small subunit ribosomal RNA", at positions 1 to 289 of the family's 1533-position model. Lineage: Bacteria; Bacillati; Chloroflexota; Dehalococcoidia. The record is from RNAcentral.
UUUACGGAGAGUUUGAUCCUGGCUCAGGACGAACGUUGGCGGCGCGCAUAAUGCAUGCAAGUCGAACGAAGUCCCACCCUUCGGGGUGAUGACUUAGUGGCAGACGGCUGAGUAACACGUGAGUGAUCUGCCUUUGGGUGAGGGACAACAGAGGGAAACUUCUGCUAAUACCUCAUACGAUCCAUGAUCUAAGGUCUUGGAUGAAAGGUGCCGGGUAACUGGUUGCCGCCCUUAGAUGAGCUCGCGGCCUAUCAGGUUGUUGGUGGGGUAAUAGCCUACCAAGCCUAAGACGGGUAACUG